CUGCUAGGGGUGCUUUGAUUUGCUGAAAGGAGAAUUUCUCCAACCCUUUUAACCUGAUCUAGAUAAUACUAGCGUAGGGAAGCAA
This 85-nucleotide non-coding RNA is filed under the name Staphylococcus lugdunensis. RNAcentral's name for it is "TPP riboswitch (THI element)". It matches the Rfam family "TPP riboswitch aptamer (THI element)", at positions 7 to 92 of the family's 105-position model. Rfam says of the family: Vitamin B(1) in its active form thiamin pyrophosphate (TPP) is an essential coenzyme that is synthesised by coupling of pyrimidine and thiazole moieties in bacteria. Lineage: Bacteria; Bacillati; Bacillota; Bacilli; Caryophanales; Staphylococcaceae. The record is from RNAcentral.